Camelina sativa (false flax) is the source of this 225-nucleotide long non-coding RNA. RefSeq lists it as uncharacterized. Lineage: Eukaryota; Viridiplantae; Streptophyta; Magnoliopsida; Brassicales; Brassicaceae. The record is from RefSeq and is a predicted model, not a curated record.
GGAGAAGGAGGAUUCGACUGGUCAAAUCGUUUUGAAAGUUUCAUGGGGCGUUUUUUCGCAUUCACGGAUUGAGACCAGCGGGUGUUUCGGGAUCAAUUGCGGUUUCAUCUGAGAUCUGAUCGUGCUGAAAUUUUGUGGGAAAUUUCUGGACCUAUAGACCUUGCGUUUCACCGGAGGGAUUAGAAAGUUAACGGAGCGAGUUUGGUUGUUCUUGGAUAUUGGAGA